ACGGAACGAGAGUUGCAUUGAGUUGUGUUUUGUGAUAUCAAAGCAAGCGAGGUUGAGCAGGAUGUUGCGAUGGAUGUUGAGUCGGCUUAGGGAAAAUUGGAUGCGUUGUGUCUUCAUACAUAGGCGUCAUCUUGUGACUCUCUAUUUAAUAACUUUUUCCGCUGCUAUCUUUUCAAAUUGAUGUCAUAAGAAUACAUUUCACGUCGUAUGGUUGGAUUGUGUCAAAUACUUUGAAACUUUAAUUCCCUGCUUAUUAUUUUUGGGUAAACUGAAAUGUUUUGUAGACUUGAACAAAUCUCUUUUGGUAGUUAAUUUAAGUUUUUGCUUUAA
Salvia splendens (bonfire salvia) is the source of this 330-nucleotide long non-coding RNA. RefSeq lists it as uncharacterized. The record is from RefSeq and is a predicted model, not a curated record. NCBI's taxonomy places the organism in Eukaryota, Viridiplantae, Streptophyta, Magnoliopsida, Lamiales, Lamiaceae. The transcript has 2 exons.